UUAAGGUAGUAGUAGUUAUGUUCUUGAAACUUAAAAAAUUUGGCGGUAUUUUAGUCUAUUCAGAGGAACCUGUCCUAUAAUCGAUAAUCCACGAUGGACCUUACUUAAGUUUGUUAAUCAGUUUGUAUACCGUCGUUAUAAAAAUAUUUUAUAAGAAUAAUAAUUUUUUAAAAUUUUUAUAAAAAUUCAUAUCAGAUCAAGGUGCAGCUUAUAUUUAAGUAGAGAUGGGUUACAAUAAAUUUAUUUAAAUGGAUUAAUUUUUGAAAAAAAAUUAUGAAGGUGGAUUUGAAUGUAAAAUUAUAAAGAUAAAUAAUUUGAUUUUAGCU
RNAcentral lists this ribosomal RNA (326 nucleotides) under Toxopoda sp. 1 RM-2008. RNAcentral describes it as "partial 12S ribosomal RNA". The record is from RNAcentral. Lineage: Eukaryota; Metazoa; Arthropoda; Insecta; Diptera; Sepsidae.